RNAcentral lists this ribosomal RNA (161 nucleotides) under Centaurea exarata. RNAcentral describes it as "5.8S ribosomal RNA". It matches the Rfam family "5.8S ribosomal RNA". Rfam says of the family: 5.8S ribosomal RNA (5.8S rRNA) is a component of the large subunit of the eukaryotic ribosome. Lineage: Eukaryota; Viridiplantae; Streptophyta; Magnoliopsida; Asterales; Asteraceae. The record is from RNAcentral.
UCUCGGCAACGGAUAUCUCGGCUCAUGCAUCGAUGAAGAACGUAGCAAAAUGCGAUACUUGGUGUGAAUUGCAGAAUCCCGUGAACCAUCGAGUUUUUGAACGCAAGUUGCGCCCGAAGCCAUUCGGCCGAGGGCACGUCUGCCUGGGCGUCACGCAUCGC